AAGCUUCUGCCUGGCAAAAUGAAGUAAAAUUCUCCUCUGCAUGGGAAGUGUCCCUUCUGGGCUAAAGAAACAAGGAUCAUCUUUAAAUAAAUACUCAGAAGUGGAAUUGCUGGAUCAUAUGGUGGCAUUAUUUUUAAUUUUUGUGGAACCUCUAUAUAUGGACAGAGGAGCCUGGAUGGCUAUAGUCCAUGGAGCCGCAAAAGAGUUGGACCGACAGCGACUAAACAACAGUACUGGACUGUUUUCCAUCGUGGCUGCACCAAUUUACUCUCCCACCAAGUGCUCCAACACUUUUUUCUUGUCUUUUUGAUGAAUUCCAUUUCUGCAAGUGUGGAGUGAUAUCGCAUUGUUCUUUCCCCUAAUAUUAGUGAUACUGAGCAUCUUUCAUGUGAAUGUUUGGAAUAUGUAUAUUGUCUAUGAAAAUAGGUUUUUAAAAAUUGAUAUGUAGGAGAAGGAAAUGGCAACCCACUCCAGUGUUCUUGCCUAGAGAAUCUCAGGGACAGGGGAGCGUGGUAGGCUCCCUUCUAUGGGGCCCCACAGAGUCAGAGAUGACUGAAGUGACUUAGCAGCCGCAGUGAUAGAAAAUGAAAACAAAAAGUUACUAUAUCCUCAGAAUAUUGUCUGUCACAUGCCAAUCAAUACAAUUAAAGAUAAUAGAAAUAGCCAAAAAAAAAAUUGAUAGGUAUGUAUGUAUACUUUGUUUUGAAUAUCAAUCCCUUCCUUAUCUGAUAUAUUCUUUUCAAAUAUCUUCUCCCAUUCAGUAGGCGGCUUUUUCCAUUUGUUGAUGGUUUCCUUAGCUGUGCAAAAGCUUUUUCAGUGAAUAUAGCCCCUUUUGUUUAUCUUCGCUUUCAUUGCCCUUGCCUGGAAAGACAUAUACAAACAAUGUUAAGAUCAACAUCAAAGAGGUUACUGCCUAUGUUUUUUUCUAAAAGUUUUAUCAUUUCAAGUGUUACAUUUAAGUCUUGAAUUCAUUUCAGUUCAGUUUAGUCGCUCAGUCGUGUCCGACUCUUUGCGACCCCAUGAAUCGCAGCACGCCAGGCCUCUCUGUCCAUCACCAACUCCCAGAGUUCACUCAGAC
Bos indicus x Bos taurus (hybrid cattle) is the source of this 1078-nucleotide long non-coding RNA. The record is from Ensembl. NCBI's taxonomy places the organism in Eukaryota, Metazoa, Chordata, Mammalia, Artiodactyla, Bovidae.